Long non-coding RNA from Monodelphis domestica (gray short-tailed opossum), 905 nucleotides. RefSeq lists it as uncharacterized. NCBI's taxonomy places the organism in Eukaryota, Metazoa, Chordata, Mammalia, Didelphimorphia, Didelphidae. The record is from RefSeq and is a predicted model, not a curated record.
AUCAUCUCUAAAAUCCCACCAGACCAGAUAUAAAGCCAACUUUGUCUGCCAAGCUCCCAUUCCAAAGAAGAAAGCAAAUUCCUUAGAGAAAGGAAGUUCUUCCUCUGAAUUCUGAUGAUCCAGAUAGAAAGCAAAGUCCACUAUGGCAAAGUUGCAAUGUUCAGUUGGGGGUGUCUGCCUCGACUAAAUUGAGUCAGCAACAUUUCAAAUGGAAAACUACAGCCAAUCAUCUUGAUAUGCUCAUAUACUGCUGCCUCCCACAUGAAUUUAGGGAUUGUGAUGUGGGAGGCACAAUCAUAGCCUCUCUGUCAAGAGACCAUGAAUAAAUAGCAUGUGACCUACAUCAUAAUGAACGCUAGAGAUGAACCAACCUCUUUCUAAGAGGCCACAUUCCCUUGGUGGAGGGCUUUCAGGAAAAUAAAACAUGCACACAGGGCUAACUUGCCCUCCUGUGCAGGAAGUAAUACCUCAAAAGGAAUGAAGCCUGAAGAAAAUCUACAGAGACAUUCACAGGGCUUUGGUCACUCAGCAAUAAUCAAGGUCAUUACCAAGCAUGCAGUGGGUGUCAAGUGGAUCACAUCAUAUUUAUUACAGUACAACUAGGAGUCAUCCAAGUCCAGUGGCAGGACAAAAGCCCAAAAGACUGGCAGUGGCCCAAGAUGCUGCAGAUGAUCUUGGCUCUAGGCUCCAUACUGCCUACUUCAGCUGCCUUCAUGGCUGAUGGAACAAAUUGUCCUCAUUUUCCCAUUCCAGAUAGGGGAAAUCUUCAAAUUGGGAUGAGGACACCAAGGUUCCUGGUGAAGUUGGGAGAACUAUGGAUCUGCCUUCAAAGGAUCUUGGUUCAAAUCUUGGCUCUGAUGUAUAUUACCUAUGUGAUCUUGGAUAAAUAAUAGAACCUUCCCUGA